ACAUCUCAACUCCUCACGGUUUGCCCGUGAUGAGCUUGGACUUUGGGGGUCUUGCCGGCCUGCAGGUUGGCUCCUCUCAAAUGAAUCAGCUUGCCAGUGUUUGGUGGCAUCACAGGUGUGAUAACUAUCUACGCUUGCGAUUGCCCACUAGGUAACCUUCAGCAAUGGAGGUUCGCUGGGGCUCAUAGACGUCUCUCCUUAGCGAGGACAGCUUUUGAAC
Molecule: unclassified non-coding RNA, 220 nt
Filed under: uncultured Tomentella
Lineage: Eukaryota; Fungi; Basidiomycota; Agaricomycetes; Thelephorales; Thelephoraceae
Description: sequence contains ITS2
Source: RNAcentral